GACAUGCGCAGUUUCUCUUGUUUUGUUGGCGAAGGACGCUUCGUAAUUCCGGGCAAGAAACUUUCCUCAUAUCACACUUAAUCACAGGUGCCGGGGAAAACCACGAAGAACGUCAAUCAUGUUGCGGCCGAGAUUCCAACCGAGGACCUCUCCAAAACGAGCACUACCGGUAACGUCAACGAUGUUGUUGGCCGUAAGCACAACCGUGCGACGUGUAGAGGACGCAGCUCAAAGCAACCCAAUGAAAUCAGCCUUUCGUCUCUCUUAGCAGUUU
This is a long non-coding RNA of Cryptotermes secundus, 274 nucleotides long. RefSeq lists it as uncharacterized. NCBI's taxonomy places the organism in Eukaryota, Metazoa, Arthropoda, Insecta, Blattodea, Kalotermitidae. The transcript is spliced from 3 exons. The record is from RefSeq and is a predicted model, not a curated record.